This 253-nucleotide ribosomal RNA is filed under the name uncultured bacterium. Its description in RNAcentral is "partial 16S ribosomal RNA". It matches the Rfam family "Bacterial small subunit ribosomal RNA", at positions 524 to 776 of the family's 1533-position model. The record is from RNAcentral.
UACGAGUACCCCAAGCGUUAUCCGGAAUUAUUGGGCGUAAAGGGUGCGUAAGUGGUUGUAUUAGUCCUGUGUUAAAACCCCCAGCUUAACUGGGGAAUCGCAUGGGAAACGGUACAACUAGAGGAUGUGAGAGGUGUGUAGAACUCAUGGAGUAGGGGUGAAAUCCGUUGAUAUCAUGGGGAAUACCAAAAGCGAAGGCAGCACACUGGCACAUUCCUGACACUGAAGCACGAAAGCGUGGGUAGCGAAUGGG